UACGAAGGGGCUAGCGUUGUUCGGAAUUACUGGGCGUAAAGCGCGCGCAGGCGGCUAUCCAAGUCAGUGGUGAAAGCCCGGAGCUCAACUCCGGAACUGCCAUUGAAACUGUUUAGCUUGAGGACGAGAGAGGUGAGUGGAAUUCCCAGUGUAGAGGUGAAAUUCGUAGAUAUUGGGAAGAACACCGGUGGCGAAGGCGGCUCACUGGCUCGUAUCUGACGCUCAGGCGCGAUAGCGUGGGGAUCAAACAGG
This 252-nucleotide ribosomal RNA is filed under the name uncultured bacterium. RNAcentral's name for it is "partial 16S ribosomal RNA". It matches the Rfam family "Bacterial small subunit ribosomal RNA", at positions 524 to 776 of the family's 1533-position model. The record is from RNAcentral.